UACGAAGGGGGCUAGCGUUGCUCGGAAUUACUGGGCGUAAAGCGCACGUAGGCGGAUUGUUACGUCGGGGGUGAAAUCCUGGAGCUCAACUCCAGAACUGCCUUCGAUACUGGCGAUCUCGAGUCCGGGAGAGGUGAGUGGAACUGCGAGUGUAGAGGUGAAAUUCGUAGAUAUUCGCAAGAACACCAGUGGCGAAGGCGGCUCACUGGCCCGGUACUGACGCUGAGGUGCGAAAGCGUGGGGAGCAAACAGG
Molecule: ribosomal RNA, 253 nt
Filed under: uncultured bacterium
Lineage: Bacteria
Description: partial 16S ribosomal RNA
Rfam family: Bacterial small subunit ribosomal RNA
Source: RNAcentral